Molecule: unclassified non-coding RNA, 646 nt
Filed under: uncultured Prochlorococcus sp.
Lineage: Bacteria; Bacillati; Cyanobacteriota; Cyanophyceae; Synechococcales; Prochlorococcaceae
Description: partial 16S-23S ribosomal RNA intergenic spacer; may also contain 16S ribosomal RNA and 23S ribosomal RNA
Rfam family: tRNA (bases 305-377)
Source: RNAcentral
UUGUGGAGGAGGACGCCGAAGGUGGGGCUAAUGACUGGGGUGAAGUCGUAACAAGGUAGCCGUACCGGAAGGUGCGGCUGGAUCACCUCCUAACAGGGAGACAACAAAAUGUUUAAUAUUAUUAUUUUGUCACCUUAGGUCGAUCGGUACCUCACGUUCUUGAUUUAUUAAGAAUUUCAUUUCCUAAGUUUUUCUAGGUCACACCCAUUAUUUUUCCUGGGCCAUUAGCUCAGGUGGUUAGAGCGCACCCCUGAUAAGGGUGAGGUCCCUGGUUCAAGUCCAGGAUGGCCCAUAUCUCUAUGUUGGGGGUAUAGCUCAGUUGGUAGAGCGCCUGCUUUGCAAGCAGGAUGUCAGCGGUUCGAGUCCGCUUACCUCCACUGAUUACCACCUCUUACAUAUUCGGUAAAAAGGAAAUGUUUUGAGUUGUGAUCAAGUUCUGAACGAAUCUAGCUUCCUAAUUUAACUAUUAAGAUGCUGGACUCAUUGAAUUAAUUUCAUUGUUUUCAGAGAACCUUGACAACUGCAUAGAUUAUUUUUAAAGACAAUAAGCAUUUUUAAUGAUGCAGAUUUAUUAUUUUUGCUAAUGCAUUAAUAACAAUUCUAUUAAGCUGAUGCUUCAAUUUUGAAGUUAUUGGUCAAGCUACAA